UACGUAGGGUGCAAGCGUUAAUCGGAAUUACUGGGCGUAAAGCGUGCGCAGGCGGUUAUGUAAGACAGAUGUGAAAUCCCCGGGCUCAACCUGGGAACUGCAUUUGUGACUGCAUAGCUAGAGUACGGUAGAGGGGGAUGGAAUUCCGCGUGUAGCAGUGAAAUGCGUAGAUAUGCGGAGGAAUACCGAUGGCGAAGGCAGCCUCCUGGGCCAACACUGACGCUCAUGCACGAAAGCGUGGGGAGCAAACAGG
This 253-nucleotide ribosomal RNA is filed under the name uncultured bacterium. RNAcentral's name for it is "partial 16S ribosomal RNA". It matches the Rfam family "Bacterial small subunit ribosomal RNA", at positions 524 to 776 of the family's 1533-position model. The record is from RNAcentral.